CUGUGUGUUGUUGGGUAGGGGAGCGUUCUGUAAGCCUGCGAAGGUGGCCUGUGAGGGUUGCUGGAGGUAUCAGAAGUGCGAAUGCUGACAUAAGUAACGAUAAAGCGGGUGAAAAGCCCGCUCGCCGGAAGACCAAGGGUUCCUGUCCAACGUUAAUCGGGGCAGGGUGAGUCGACCCCUAAGGCGAGGCCGAAAGGCGUAGUCGAUGGGAAACGGGUUAAUAUUCCCGUACUUGGUGUUACUGCGAAGGGGGGACGGAGAAGGCUAUGUUGGCCGGGCGACGGUUGUCCCGGUUUAAGCGUGUAGGUGUGUGUUCCAGGUAAAUCCGGUUCACUUUAACACUGAGGCGUGACGACGAGGCACUACGGUGCUGAAGCAACAAAUGCCCUGCUUCCAGGAAAAGCCUCUAAGCAUCAGGUAACAUCAAAUCGUACCCCAAACCGACACAGGUGGUCAGGUAGAGAAUACCAAGGCGCUUGAGAGAACUCGGGUGAAGGAACUAGGCAAAAUGGUGCCGUAACUUCGGGAGAAGGCACGCUGACACGUAGGUGAAGUGAUUUACUCAUGGAGCUGAAGUCAGUCGAAGAUACCAGCUGGCUGCAACUGUUUAUUAAAAACACAGCACUGUGCAAACACGAAAGUGGACGUAUACGGUGUGACGCCUGCCCGGUGCCGGAAGGUUAAUUGAUGGGGUCAGCGCAAGCGAAGCUCCUGAUCGAAGCCCCGGUAAACGGCGGCCGUAACUAUAACGGUCCUAAGGUAGCGAAAUUCCUUGUCGGGUAAGUUCCGACCUGCACGAAUGGCGUAAUGAUGGCCAGGCUGUCUCCACCCGAGACUCAGUGAAAUUGAACUCGCUGUGAAGAUGCAGUGUACCCGCGGCAAGACGGAAAGACCCCGUGAACCUUUACUAUAGCUUGACACUGAACAUUGAGCCUUGAUGUGUAGGAUAGGUGGGAGGCUUUGAAGUGUGGACGCCAGUCUGCAUGGAGCCGACCUUGAAAUACCACCCUUUAAUGUUUGAUGUUCUAACGUGGACCCGUUACCCGGGUUGCGGACAGUGUCUGGUGGGUAGUUUGACUGGGGCGGUCUCCUCCUAAAGAGUAACGGAGGAGCACGAAGGUUGGCUAAUCCUGGUCGGACAUCAGGAGGUUAGUGCAAUGGCAUAAGCCAGCUUGACUGCGAGCGUGACGGCGCGAGCAGGUGCGAAAGCAGGUCAUAGUGAUCCGGUGGUUCUGAAUGGAAGGGCCAUCGCUCAACGGAUAAAAGGUACUCCGGGGAUAACAGGCUGAUACCGCCCAAGAGUUCAUAUCGACGGCGGUGUUUGGCACCUCGAUGUCGGCUCAUCACAUCCUGGGGCUGAAGUAGGUCCCAAGGGUAUGGCUGUUCGCCAUUUAAAGUGGUACGCGAGCUGGGUUUAGAACGUCGUGAGACAGUUCGGUCCCUAUCUGCCGUGGGCGCUGGAGAACUGAGGGGGGCUGCUCCUAGUACGAGAGGACCGGAGUGGACGCAUCACUGGUGUUCGGGUUGUCAUGCCAAUGGCACUGCCCGGUAGCUAAAUGCGGAAGAGAUAAGUGCUGAAAGCAUCUAAGCACGAAACUUGCCCCGAGAUGAGUUCUCC
RNAcentral lists this ribosomal RNA (1618 nucleotides) under Salmonella enterica subsp. enterica serovar Enteritidis. RNAcentral describes it as "partial 23S ribosomal RNA". It matches the Rfam family "Bacterial large subunit ribosomal RNA", at positions 1214 to 2814 of the family's 2925-position model. The record is from RNAcentral. Lineage: Bacteria; Pseudomonadati; Pseudomonadota; Gammaproteobacteria; Enterobacterales; Enterobacteriaceae.